Molecule: ribosomal RNA, 126 nt
Filed under: Lachnospiraceae bacterium
Lineage: Bacteria; Bacillati; Bacillota; Clostridia; Lachnospirales; Lachnospiraceae
Description: partial 23S ribosomal RNA
Rfam family: Bacterial large subunit ribosomal RNA
Source: RNAcentral
CCCUCAAGAUGAGAUAUCCCAUCGAAAGAUUAAGACCCCUUGAAGACGACGAGGUAGAUAGGAAUGAGGUGUAAGCACAGUAAUGUGUUCAGCUGACAUUUACUAAUCGGUCGAGGGCUUAACCUA